Molecule: ribosomal RNA, 429 nt
Filed under: Actinomycetes bacterium
Lineage: Bacteria; Bacillati; Actinomycetota; Actinomycetes
Description: Actinobacteria bacterium partial 16S ribosomal RNA
Rfam family: Bacterial small subunit ribosomal RNA
Source: RNAcentral
UAGGGAAUCUUCCGCAAUGGGCGAAAGCCUGACGGAGCAACGCCGCGUGAGUGAUGAAGGUCUUCGGAUCGUAAAACUCUGUUAUUAGGGAAGAACACAUGUGUAAGUAACUAUGCACGUCUUGACGGUACCUAAUCAGAAAGCCACGGCUAACUACGUGCCAGCAGCCGCGGUAAUACGUAGGUGGCAAGCGUUAUCCGGAAUUAUUGGGCGUAAAGCGCGCGUAGGCGGUUUUUUAAGUCUGAUGUGAAAGCCCACGGCUCAACCGUGGAGGGUCAUUGGAAACUGGAAAACUGGAGUGCAGAAGAGGAAAGUGGAAUUCCAUGUGUAGCGGUGAAAUGCGCAGAGAUAUGGAGGAACACCAGUGGCGAAGGCGACUUUCUGGUCUGUAACUGACGCUGAUGUGCGAAUGCGUGGGGAUCAAACAGG